ACAGCGUAGGAGGUAAUACCUCUCCACCGUGAGGUGAGGAUCAGAGCAACAGAGACGAGCCGAUUCAGUUCGGGUGAAACGGGCAAUCUCUACGCGCAGCAAUACCAAGUAGGCCAGCGCCAAAGUGGCGCGGUUCGCCGCGACAUCUUUAUCCUGUGGUCCGCAGGAAUGGCUGGCGGGUAGGUAGCACCGAGCCGGGUGGGCGACCCCCGGCCCAGAGUAAUGGCGGUCACGCCGGCGCGGUUUGUUUCGGCAGGCCGGGCCGGUGCACAGAAUCCGGCUUAUCGGCGGGCUUCACAC
This 300-nucleotide RNase P RNA is filed under the name Haliea sp. Its description in RNAcentral is "Bacterial RNase P class A". It matches the Rfam family "Bacterial RNase P class A", at positions 66 to 367 of the family's 367-position model. From Rfam's summary of the family: Ribonuclease P (RNase P) is a ubiquitous endoribonuclease, found in archaea, bacteria and eukarya as well as chloroplasts and mitochondria. Its best characterised activity is the generation of mature 5'-ends of tRNAs by cleaving the 5'-leader elements of precursor-tRNAs. Cellular RNase Ps are ribonucleoproteins. Lineage: Bacteria; Pseudomonadati; Pseudomonadota; Gammaproteobacteria; Cellvibrionales; Halieaceae. The record is from Rfam by way of RNAcentral.